UACGGAGGAGGCAAGCGUUAUCCGGAAUUAUUGGGCGUAAAGCGUCCGUAGGUGGCUAGUCAAGUCUGCGGUCAAAGACUGGGGCUUAACCCUGGAAAGGCCGUGGAAACUGACGAGCUAGAGUGCAGUAGGGGUAGAGGGAAUUCCCGGUGUAGCGGUGAAAUGCGUAGAGCUCGGGAAGAACAUCGGUGGCGAAAGCGCUCUACUGGACUGCAACUGACACUCAGGGACGAAAGCUAGGGGGGCGAACAGG
RNAcentral lists this ribosomal RNA (253 nucleotides) under uncultured bacterium. RNAcentral's name for it is "partial 16S ribosomal RNA". It matches the Rfam family "Bacterial small subunit ribosomal RNA", at positions 524 to 776 of the family's 1533-position model. The record is from RNAcentral.